This 404-nucleotide ribosomal RNA is filed under the name uncultured bacterium. RNAcentral's name for it is "bacterial SSU rRNA". It matches the Rfam family "Bacterial small subunit ribosomal RNA", at positions 355 to 776 of the family's 1533-position model. RNAcentral also lists the same sequence under 1 other name. The record is from RNAcentral.
UGGGGAAUAUUGCACAAUGGGGGAAACCCUGAUGCAGCGACGCCGCGUGGAGGAAGAAGUAUUUCGGUACGUAAACUCCUAUCAGCAGGGAAGAAAAUGACGGUACCUGACUAAGAAGCCCCGGCUAACUACGUGCCAGCAGCCGCGGUAAUACGUAGGGGGCGAGCGUUAUCCGGAUUCACUGGGUGUAAAGGGAGCGUAGACGGCGAUGCAAGCCUGAUGUGAAAACCCGCAGCUCAACUGCGGGCCUGCAUUGGGAACUGUAUAGCUGGAGUACUGGAGGGGCAGGCGGAAUUCCUGGUGUAGCGGUGGAAUGCGUAGAUAUCAGGAAGAACACCGGUGGCGAAGGCGGCCUGCUGGACAGAUACUGACGUUGAGGCUCGAAAGCGUGGGGAGCAAACAGG